GACGAACGCUGGCGGCGUGCCUAAUACAUGCAAGUUGAGCGCUGAAGGUUGGUACUUGUACCAACUGGAUGAGCAGCGAACGGGUGAGUAACGCGUGGGGAAUCUGCCUUUGAGCGGGGGACAACAUUUGGAAACGAAUGCUAAUACCGCAUAAAAACUUUAAACACAAGUUUUAAGUUUGAAAGAUGCAAUUGCAUCACUCAAAGAUGAUCCCGCGUUGUAUUAGCUAGUUGGUGAGGUAAAGGCUCACCAAGGCGAUGAUACAUAGCCGACCUGAGAGGGUGAUCGGCCACAUUGGGACUGAGACACGGCCCAAACUCCUACGGGAGGCAGCAGUAGGGAAGCUUCGGCAAUGGACGAAAGGCUGACCGAGCAACGCCGCGUGAGUGAAGAAGGUUUUCGGAUCGUAAAACUCUGUUGGUAGAGAAGAACGUUGGUGAGAGUGGAAAGCUCAUCAAGUGACGGUAACUACCCAGAAAGGGACGGCUAACUACGUG
RNAcentral lists this ribosomal RNA (497 nucleotides) under uncultured bacterium. RNAcentral's name for it is "partial 16S ribosomal RNA". It matches the Rfam family "Bacterial small subunit ribosomal RNA", at positions 28 to 507 of the family's 1533-position model. The record is from RNAcentral.